CAAUAGCGUAUAUUAAAGUUGUUGCAGUUAAAAAGCUCGUAGUUGGAUUUCUGGCAGGAGCGACCGGUCACACACUCUGUGUGUGAACUUGCGUUGUCUCUGGCCAUCCUUGGGAAGAUCCUGUUUGGCAUUAAGUUGUCGGGCAGGGGAUACCCAUCGUUUACUGUGAAAAAAUUAGAGUGUUUAAAGCAGGCUUAUGCCGUUGAAUAUAUUAGCAUGGAAUAAUAAGAUAGGACUUCGGAACUAUUUUGUUGGUUUGCGUUACGAAGUAAUGAUUAAUAGGGACAGUUGGGGGUAUUCGUAUUUCGUUGUCAGAGGUGAAAUUCUUGGAUUUCCGAAAGACGAACUACUGCGAAAGCAUUUACUAAGGAUGUUUUCAUUAA
This 383-nucleotide ribosomal RNA is filed under the name uncultured eukaryote. Its description in RNAcentral is "partial 18S ribosomal RNA". It matches the Rfam family "Eukaryotic small subunit ribosomal RNA", at positions 592 to 976 of the family's 1831-position model. The record is from RNAcentral.